UAACAUAUAUAACAAUAUAUAAUAUGUAUAAUAAUAUAUAUAUUUAUAUAUAUUAUGUUAUAUAUAUGUAGUGUAUAUAAUCAGAUUUUUCAACAGCAACUCUUGAUUCCAGAAAACAAUGGAGUAACAUAUUUAGGGCACUUAAAGAAAAAAGAAUAUGAGCCAAGCAUUUUAUGUGCUACCAAACUGACCAUCAACAUAGAGUCCACAGAAAAAUUGUCAUUAACAUGCAACAAAUAUUGUUUCCAUGAGCCCCUUCUUGAGAAGACUGUCUAGAGAUGAGCUUCAGACAGCCAAAAUGACCAGAGCAGCAUUGGUAUAAGGGACUAGCAUUAAGCAUUAUAGAUUUGUCUAUAGAACCAAGACUGAAUAAUGGCUCUAGGAGAGGCAAGACAGUAUCGUAUGUAGUGGUAUAUAUGGAAGCUCCCCAGCUUACGAUGGUGUUCCAUCUGGUAAACCCAUUGUUAAGUCGAAAAUACCAUAGGUCAAAAUGUAUUUAAUGCACCUAACCUACCAAAUAUCACAGCUUAGCCUAGCCUUUCUUAAACGUGUUCAGAGCACGUACAUUAGCCUACAGUUGGGUAGCAUAGUAUAUUAUAGAGAUCAGCUGUUUCCCCUUGUGAUCAUGGAGGUGACAGGCAGCUGCAGCUCAAGAGAGUGUUGUACUGCUUUUUACUCUAUGCCUGUUGCUUUCACACCAUCAUAAAGUUGAAAAAUCCUAAGUUGGGGAUUGUUUGGGCUCUGAAAAUGUAUGUAUAGUACAAUUAUUAAAAAAUGGUGAGAAAAUGGGAGAAAUGUGAAAGGUAAAAUAAACUCACUGAUUACUUAAUAUGUACCAAUUGGGAACUGAAGAAUGGUACUUCAAAUCAAGUGCUGGUGGGGAGGAAAGGUAGAAAUGUAAGAAAAGGUUAUCAGAUAAUUUCCAUAGUGUUGGGAACCCAUAGAAUACAGCCCCAGAAAAGGGUGGACGAAGCAAGAGUAAUGGUAUUAUAUAAAGGCCUGACUGUACAGAUACAGUACAAGCCUUCCUAAAUACCAAAAAAUAACCUGAAAAGAGACAGUAUGCAAAUAAGAUAGACAAUAUAGUAAAAGAAUACACAUGUACACACAUUAACCAGAUGUACUCAAAGGACCAAGGGCAAACAUAUUAAUUACAUCUGUAAUUGCAAAUGUGCUUACCUUAACCAUAAAAAAAAUAGGAUUUUCAGAUUGGUUAACAAAGCAUAACCAAACAUUAUGCUAUAUUCAAGAAACAUCCAAAUAAAAUUUAAUAAGAUUUAAAGUAAAAAUAAAAGAAUGGAUAAGGCUUACAAGGCAAAUACAAAUAAGAGAGCAAAGUGUAUGAUCUCCAUACCUAACAAGGAAAAACUUAGAUCAAAAAGCCUGAUGAGACAAAGAAAUAUACUUUAUAAUGUUAAAGACCACAUUUUAUAAUAAACUUAUAAUAAUUAUUAAUAUUUAUGUACCUAGUAACACAGAAACAAAGGUCAUAAAGCAGAAACUAAGGGAGAUUCAGAGAAACAGAUUAAAAUAUACCCCAUAAUACCAGACCAAAAAAAUAAUAAGAAUAUAAAAGACCAAAUAGCAUAAUCAGUAAGGUAGAUAUAAUUAGAUAUAUCAAACUCUGAACUUUGAUAGUAAAAAAUACAUCUUUUUGUCAUUCGAGCAUAGAAUAUUCAUUCGUGAAAAUUAGAGCAAUGAACAAAUUCCAAGGAAGAAAAUAAAAGUAGCAGUUUCUGACCAGAAUGCAAAAAAUAAAACAAUAUAAAAAUCCCACCUAUCCGGAAAUUCUAAAACAUCAUUUAAACAGCUACUGAGUCAAAGGGAAAAUAUAAAAUAAAACUUAGAAUUUCUUAAAGAUAAAUGAAAACAAAAUAAGUCUGUAGAACAGAUUUAAAACAGUUUUCAGAGAAAUUUUCGUAGCAUUUAGUACCUGAAUCGGUAAAAGUGAAAAAUGAGAAGAAAAAAUAUGAAUUAAACACCCAAAACCAGGAUGAAAAAUAAACCAAACUAAAACAAAGCAAAGAAUUAACAAAGAAAAAAGAUGCAUUAAUUAUACAGAAAAGCAGUAGAAAUAAUGAAUCCAAAAGCUGAGUUUGAGGCAUAUAUCAGUGAAAUAGAUAUGUCAUUAACUAACCUAAUAAAGGAAAAGGAGAUCACCAAAAUAAAAUUCAAAAGGCAGGGGACUCUAAGAACUCUAAGAAUUGAUACUUUUUUUUACACAAAAUAACACACACACAUCACUUAGCAGAAAAGCCAGGACCUUACUAGGUGCUUUCUAGAUGCUUUUCUACUCAAGUCGAGAACUAGCCAAGAAUGUCCACUAUAUCUCCUACUACUCAACAUGAGUUUGAAUGUAUUAAUAUAGACAAAGGAAACAAAGGCAUUCAGACCACCUACUGUAUCUAAUAAAAUCGUAUGUCUGGAAAACCCAAAAGAAUCCAUGGAAAAGCAGCUACAAAGAAUAAGAGAGUGUAGUCACAUAACAUGAAAAGUUAACACACAUGUAAAAGUAAUACUCCAGUUCGGAUGUAUAGUAGGUCAAGGCAGGUCAGUGCAUUACAAUAACUUGAAUGAACCAGAUAAACUUCUAAAAUCAUGUUUUUAAAGCUAUCACAGAACUAGGCAAGCAACAAAAUAUGAAAGAACUAAAUUGCUAGUGAGAGAAGAACUUUUCCAAAGUGAGCUGAUGAUUGCCAGCUGUGUCUCCCGCCUACUUCAUGCCCCAGCAUUUGUUGAUUCCAGGUAUGAGCUAAGAACUGGCUUUAACCUAGGGAGAAAGCCAUUACUGAGGAAAGAGCAAAAUUAAAGCUUUUAGCAGUUGUUCAAAGUGGAAUUAACAGAUUAGAAAUCAAACACAUGACCAGUUGUUUUCCAAGGAGCAUUUGAUGAGAACUAAGGCCACACAGGAGUCUGGGAGAUCAGGCUCAAAACUUAGGAAAGGUAAAGUGAAGUCUCUCCGUCUCACACUGCUUAGGAAAUAAGGAGAUGCUGGGUGGCAGAGCCAGACAGAAGCAUACGGCUGAUUUUUCCCCUCAGGACUUUUGUCUUGAUGCUAUUUGGAUGGGAGACUGAAGUAAGCUGGAGACCUCUAACAGGAAAAAGUCUUUAGGGCUGAGGAGACAGACACCUGAUGUCAUUCUUGUUCCUCAGUGGUGGCACUCAAGGGAUUCUGACUGAACUGAGUCAGAUUCAGUUGAGUCUUGCUAAACUGCAUGCCUCAACCUAAUUCAUUAUCAGGCAGGAAUGAGUUGAUCAGUCCUACAACUUCUUUGCUUAAUAGAAUGAAGGGAAAAACUGCCCUGAUGAAAUAUAAUAGCUGGAGCCUCUGUGGUUCCUUUAUACACAAAGACCAGAAUACAGUUUUUAGAAAAAAAUACUAGAUAUGCAAAGAAGCAAGAAUGUAUGGUUGACAACAAAGCAUAGUGCAGACAAUAGGAGCAGAUUUACAGAUAAUAGAGAUAUUAUAGUUAGUAGACAAGGACUUUAAGAUAAUUACAAUUAAUAUGUUCACAAAAAUAAAGGAAAAGAUGAAUAGAUGAAAAGAAAUACCUUUUCACCAGAGAACUAGAAACUAUUUUAAAAAUCAGAUCAGCAUUCUAGAACUUAAAAAUACAGUAAUGAAAACCCUUUGAAUGGGUUUAAUACCAGAUUGAACAGAGCACAGUCCAGAAUUGGUGAACUAGAAAAAUAGGCAGACAGGACCACAGAGAAAAUAAGUGAGUAUGGGGAUUGAUAAGAGCGUAAAAAUCAGGACGGAAAAACUCCACAGAUCUAACAUACAUCUCAUUAGGGUCUCAGAGAUGUAGAAGUAAGAGAAUCGGGCAGAAGUGAUACUUGAAGAAAUAGGCUAGAAUUUUCCAAACUGGAUGAAAGGUAGCUCAGCAGAUCCCCAAGCAGAAUAGGUGCAAUGAAAAGCACACCUAGGAACAUUAAAAGCUUAAGAAUAACCCAGAGGAAAAAUAUCAUUUCUGUAUCAGUUACCUGUUGUUAAAAACAGAUGGCUGUUUAGCAGCCAUUUAUUUAUUUGCAGUUCUACCAGGCAAUUCUGCUGGGCUCAUGUGAAGUCACUUAGGUUGCUCCUGCUACAUACCCAGGAUCUCUUCACUCUCAUGUUUGGUGCCUCUGGGGAAGCCUGGAAGAGUGGGAGCUGUCCAGGCUCCAUCUCUACGUGGUCUCUUAAGCACCAUGGGAUCCUUCCAAGUCCAUCUGGUCUCUCCAGCUCCACAUGGUCUCUCUGGCACAGUAAUAAGCACAUGAUGGGUCAGGGCUUCAGAAGGGCAAAGAACAGAAUCUGUCCAGCCUCUCAAAGCCUAGAAACUGAUCAUUUCAACUGCGUUCUUGUGGUCGAAGCCAGUCAUCACAAUGCCAGCUGAGAUUCAAGGAAACGGAUAGGACUUCACUUCUUGGUAAGACAUGGGUAAGGAGGAGGGCAGCAUAGAAUUUUAGGUCUUCUCUCAUUUACCUGAGCCCUCUUACAAGCUCAAAUUGUUUAAAUUCCUCCCACAUGCAAAAUAACACCCACCUCAAAAACCCCACAGUCCCAUCCAAUUAUGGCAUCAGGAUCAGAGUCUACCUGUAUACAGUAGUUCCCCCUCAACUGUGGUUUCCCUUUGCACGGUUUUCAGUUACCCAUAGUCAGCUGAGUUUUCAAAAAUAGUUGAGUAUCGUAUAAGACAUUUUGAAGUAGAGAAAGAUACAAACUAUAUCCACAUAACUUCUAUUACAGUAUAUUUUAUAAUUGUUCUGUUUUAUUAUUGUUUUUAAUCUCUUACUGUGUGUAAUUUAUAAAUUAAACUUUAUCAUAGGAAAAAAUAGUGUUUUGUUUAUAAAGUUCAGUACUAUCUGCAGUUUGAAGCAUCUGCUGAGGGUCUUGGAACAUAUUCCCCUCAGCUCAGAAAGGAUUCCUGUGUAUGGAGGAGGCUCCUCAGAUACAGCUUCUCUUUAUCUGUAAACCCAUGAAUUAGAAAAAAAAAAUUAUUGGUCCCACCCACCCCCACAUGUACAACCUACAUUAUUAUGGCAAGGAUACGAUGUCACAAUUGACUAAAUUUACGAGAGGAAAUUGAAGGCAUGUAGCUAUCCCAUGGCAGUUGUGAAAUCCAUCUGGCUAUAUGUCAGCAAUUCCCCCAAUUCCAGGGGUAGGGAACAUUUGAUUAGUCUAUUUUGGUUCUCUGAAGUUGGCUCCCUUUUUUAUUUCUCAGUCCUUGACUUUUUUCCCAGAGCUGAGAAAUGUCCUGUUUUUGUAGCUUAAUAGCUUUCUCAGCCUGCUUCUAGACUGUCUCUGUCCCAGCUGGCACAGUUUCCACUCUGGCACAACUUCUUUAAAAAGCUUUGUGGACUUUUAAAUUAUAAACCACUCACUCCACCAGAGAGAAGCCACAUCCACAAAAUUCUUCAAGAAGUCCCCUGUGUACUUUGAAUGUGAAUCAGAGAUGAUACCUUUAAGAGUCUUAGAUGCCUUUUGUCUAACUGAGAGCGUCUGCUAGGCAGUGGCUUAACAGGUGGUCCUCAACUUACGAUUUUUCAGCUUAGAAUUCUUUUACUUUAGGAUAGUCUGAAAGCGAUAUGCAUUCAGUAGCAACCAUACUUCAAGUACUCAUACAGCCAUUCUGUUUUUUACAUUCAGUACAGUAUCCAGUAAAUCAUGAGAUAUUCAGCACUUCAUUACAAAACAGGCUUUGUGUGAGAUGAUUUUAUUUAACUAUGGCACCAUGUAAGUGUUCUGAGCACCUUUAAGCAAUGAUAGACCAAGUUAUGAUGAGGUUAGGUGUACUGAAUGCAUUUCAACGUAAUAUUUUCAGCUUACAAUGGGUUUAUCAAGCGUAACCCCAUCGUAAGUCAGGGAGCAUCUGUAGUAGUAACAAGGUCAUAUUGCCGUGCCCUUCAUUUUAUCUUGACCCUGAAACCAUAGUCUUACUGAUAACACCCUGAUUUUUUUUUUUUUUUUUUACUUCAGAACCUUUUGCUGUAGAAGCUGGUACUGAGAAAGUUUUAUUUUGUAACCCUGCAUGUCCCAGGUUGAAAGUAUUUUCCCCUAAAUUCUGCCUGAAAACUGUACAGUUCCUUGUUUAGUUCUUCUGUCUCUUUUAAUAUCUUGUUAUAGGUGUUUUUUGAAAAAUUGCUCAUCACUUCCAGCAUUCUUCCUGGAAACCUUAGCCAGAUCUAUAAUUUCAUAGGUGCUUUUUCUGUCUUCCAGGAUACAGUCUCACUUGUUUUGUCAGAUUACAUGGCUUCUGUCCAGCCUGAAAUAGCAAUUUCCUUGGUGGCUUUCUAGCCUCCAUUAGUAGUUUCAUUGCUGCCCUUCCACCAAAUUGUCUAUAACCCAGUCCCAAAGUAGUGCUACUUGUUUUAAGUUUCUAUCAUGACAAUGCUCUAUUUUAAUACCAAAUACUAUUUCAGUUAUCUUUUUCUGCCUAACACACCACCCCAAAAUUUACUACCUUAAUAAAACAAAACUAUUCUUCACUUAAGAGUCACAACAGUCUGAACUGGACUCAGCUGGGCAUCUCUUCUGGUCUCACCUGGAGUCAUUUAUGCAACUGCAGACAUGUGGGGACUUCACUGGGGCUUGCCGCCAAAGAUGGCUUUACACAAAUGUCUGGUGCCUCAACUGGGGUGGCCGCAUUAGCUGUCACAGCUGACAGUUCCCUCUCCAGCAGGGUGCUGGGCCUUUGCACCUGAUGACUGAGGGCUUCAAGAGGGUGAAAGCAGAAGCAUCCGGGCCAGGCCUCUUAGAGCCUGUGCAUAAAACCGAAGCAGCACUACUUCAUCUGUGCUGCCUUUCAAAGUAUGUCCUGGGGCCUGCUCAAAAUUAUAGGCAGGGGAAAUAUCCUCUGCCUGAUGGUAGUGACAAAGAGUAUGUGGCCCAUCUUAAAUUCACCAGUUAUCUUCACAGAUACAACGAGAUUGUUAGCUUCUGAAGAGAAAGGAUAGAAACUAGAAGCCAUUAUAACAGCACAUUUUAAGGGCUAGAAUAAGAAAACUGCAAGCUUAGAAUCCUAAACCAGCAAAACUAUUCCUAAAACAGAGAGAAUUUGGCACCAGUAGGCCUGCACUGAAAAAUUAAAGGAAGUUCAUCAGGAAAAUCAUCCCAGAUAGAAAUGUGGACUUGGAAGAAAGAAUGAAGAACACUGGGAAGCAUAUGUAAAUGAAUAGUAACUGUACAAAAUAAUAAUUGUACACCCUGAGGAGUUUCAAUUUUAUGUACUGUAUAUCUGAAAUUCAUGGUAACAAUAACGUAAAUGAUGAGAAGGAAACAAAUGGAGUUUAAAAGUCCUAAGGCUUAAUUGAUAUCAGCCAAGUAGUAAAAGUAAUAAUUUACAUUGGCUUUAAUAAGUAAAAAAGCAUGUUUUAAGCUCUAGGCUAACAACUAAAAAUUAUUUUAAAAUGUCACUUAAUAGAAGGAAAUGGAAUCAUGUAGAACAUUUGAUUAAUCCAGAGGAAGUCAGGGAGCGUAAAGGUACAUAAAAGUAGAACACAAAUAGUAAAAUGGCAAAUACAGACCCAAGUACAUCAGGAGUUAAAUGGAGAAAGACUGUGUAAUUUAAGAAUUAAACAUGGGCUAGAAUUUUUUUUAAACCCAGCUAUACAGCUACACUCUUGUCAGAAAAAGUAAGCUUUAAAAUAAGAAGCAUUACUAGAGUUAAAGUGGAAUAUUUUAUAACAAUAAAGGGAUCUGUGGCAGGCUGAAUAGUGCCCCCCACAAAGAUACCCAUGUUCUAAUCCCUGGAACCUGUGAAAAUUAUAUACAUACACAGUAUGGAAAGAAGAGGACUUUGCAGAUAAAAUUGAGGAUCUAGAGAGGGAGCAAUUACCCUGGAUUAUCCAGGUGGAUCCUAAAGCCAAUCACAUGUAUUCUUAAAAAGAAGGAGACGGUACAGUAUUCAGUAAAUCAUGAGAUAUCCAGCACUUCAUUAUAAAAUAGGCUUUGCGCAAGAUUUAAUCCAGAAGAGGAGAAGGCCAUGGGACGAUAAAGACAGAGGUUGAGCUAUGCAGCCACAAGCCAAGGAAUGCCAGCAGCCACAAGAAACCAGAAGAGGGAAGUAGCAGAUUCUCUAGAUCCUCUGAAGGGAGCACAGCCCUGCUGACACAUUGACUUUGACUCAGUGAUACUGAUUUUGGACCUCUUGUUUUCAGAGCUAUGAAAGAAUACAUUUUUAUUGUUUUAAAUCACCAAGUAUGUGUUAAUUUGUCACAGUAGCUCUAGUAAAGUAAUAUUGAUUUAAUUCACAAGAUAGGUAUGUUCCAUAAACUGUAUGAACUUAAUAACAUAGUCUAAAAUAUAUAAGGUAAACAUACCUGGCAAAGAAAAGGGCAUAUUGCCAAUCAAAGUAGAUUUGAAUAAAAUUAUAAUAACUGAGAGCAGUUAUUAUUAUAGCAGACCAAAAAAUCACAAUUACAAACCUGACCUAGUUGACAUAUAUGAGCACUGCAUCCAACAGUGACAAAAUUCAUUAUUUUACAUGCACAAGGAAGGAACAUUUAUCAUUUGUAAACACUUAACAUAUGACUGAGCCAUAAAAAAGGCCUCAACAAAUUUUCAAAGAUUGAAAUUACUUAGCAUGGAUAUUGACCAAAACAGAUUAAGCCAGAAAUCAGUACAAUUAUCAUACAAAAAUAAAUAGCUUUCAUAUAUACAACAAAAAAAGAGAAGUUGUAAGAGAAUUUCAAAAGAAAGUAUGUUAGGCAAAUUUUUUCAUGUCUAUUAAAACUCUUCUGAAGAAUGCAAAACGAGGCUUGAACAAGUGGAAGACUUAACCAUGUUCUUGAACGUGAAGUCUCAGCAUCAUAUGUCAGUUCUUGUAAGUUAAUUUGUCAUUUUAAUUCAGUAACAAUAAAAAUGCUAUGUUUUUCUGGUGUCAGCCAAGCUAUUAAUAAUUGUAAGUUUAUCUCAAAGAACAAACAAUCAAGAAUAAUUAGAUAAACUGUGAAAAAAAGAGCAGUAGGAGAAGAGGAAGAUUUAACCUAGAAAACAUUAAACACUUAUGGAGCCUUUAAUGUAGUUUGAUAUUGCUACAUGAAUGCACAAACCAAUGGGAAAGACUAGAAAACUAAUUAUAUACGGCAAUUUUGAAUACUGUAAAGACAGUAUCUCAUCACUGAAAGGAAAUGCAUGUUUUAAUGCUAAAUACAGGAAAAGGUAAAAUUAUAUCUAUUUCACUGGGCAUGGUGGCUCACACCUGUAAUCCCAGCACUUUGGGAGGCCAAAGUAGGUGGAUCACCUGAGGUCAGGACUUCGAGACCAGCCUGGCCAACAUGGUGAAACCCUGUCUCUACUAAAAUUACAAAAAAAUUAGCUGGGUGUGGUGGUGCACACCUGUAAUCCCAGCUACUCGGGAGGCUAGGGCAGGAGAAUCACUUGAACCUGGGAGGCAUAGGUUGAAGUGAACCGAGAUCGCGCCACUGCCCUCCAGCCUGGGCAACAGAGUGAGACUCUGUCCAAAAAAAAAAUUAUAUCCAUUCCUUCUACACACCAAGAUAAAUUUUAAAUGGUUCAGAGAUUAAAAAUGUUUAAAAAAUGACUUCAUACAAGUACAAAUAGAAUGCAUGAGAAUUUCUCUGUAACUUGGAUAUAGGGAAGAUUUCCUAAUUGACUCAAAAUUCAUACACACCAAGGAAAAAGAUGAAUAACUUAAUUUUUUUUAAAACUUGCCUUUCAUACAAACACUAUGAGCAAAAUGAAAAGCUGUGAGCAGUAUUUUCAAAUUACAUUACAGAUAAACGGAUUUUAAACCUAAUUUCUAAGGAGCCUUUAAAAAAGAAGGAAAAAGGUCGGCAAUCUUAGAAAAAUGGACUAGAUUCAGCAGAAAAGAAAAUGAAAGCAGAAAAUUAUGGAAAAUAGUCAAAUGGAAUAUAAAGAGAAAAAAAUGGAAAUAUGAGCUUUUUUUUUUUUUCUUGAGACCGAGUUUCGCUCUUACCCAGGCUGGAAUGCAAUGGCAUGAUCUCAGCUCACCACAACCUCUGCCUCCUGGGUUCAGGCAAUUCUCCUGCCUCAGCCUCCUGAGUAGCUAGGAUUACAGGUGCAUGCCACCAUGCCCAGCUAAUGUUUUGUAUUUUUAGUAGAGAUGGGGUUUCACCAUGUUGACCAGGAUGGUCUCGAUCUCUUGACCUCGUGAUCCACCCACCUUGGCCUCCCAAAGUGCUGGGAUUACAGGCUUGAGCCACCGCACCCAGCCGAGCUUUUUUUUUAAAAAAAGAGAAUAAUCUACUACAAUACAGGAGGCUGAUGAUCUAGGCAGAGAAACCAACAGCCUUUAGAAGUCUUGCACAGCUAGAGAAAUAAGAUUGGAUAAUAGAAAGGCCAAGAUCCUGCUGAGAAGGGAAAGACAAAAAUGUGAGCCUAGAACUCUUCACAGUACGUUGGCAAAUUCUGAAGCUACAAAACACAGGAGACCAGAAAGCCAAGUAGAAAGCUGCGAAAAACCACUUGUUGGAGGCAAGUAUUAGAGUUCAAGACACAGCAUUGAGGACAAGAGGCUUUUGAUGACUAUCCAGUGAUUUCAUUUGGAAGGACUGGAGACUUGUGCCUUUUAAGAAGGGACAAAACUGAGGGUAAGUGAACUGUGGAUCUAGGAAUGACAAGACCAGCAGGAAGAUUACCAUUGCCAACUAUAGCCUUUACACAAUGGCAUAGCAGCCCAAAUUAAGUCAGUUAUUGAAUUAAGUUUAUUGUCUACUUGCCAAGCUAAAGAAAGUGUGAGUGCUCUCUUUAGAAGAUAACAUCAUAUGGAGCCUCUACAAUUUUUUAGACACAAUGUCAACCCUUUGAUAAAAUUAUACUAGGCAUUCAAGAGAUGGGACUGAAAACCAAGAGACAGUGCAGACAAUAGAAAUAUACCCACAGAUGAUCCAGGAAGUGAAGUUAAGACCAGGACUUGAAAUAGCAAUGAUAAUGCGUUCAAGAAAAUAGAAGACAAGGAGAAAAUAAAUAAAAGGGAAAAUUUUCCCCAGAGAAUUGGAACAUGUAGGGAAUAAAAAUAAUCAAAUGGAUAUUCUAGAGCUGAGAAUUGCAAUAACUGAAAUUAAGAACUCAAUUAAUGGAUAUAAAAUUAAAUUAGACAAUGGAGAGCCCAGAGAUAAACCCUCAUAUAUGUAGUCAAAUGAUUUUCCACAAGAGUGCCAAGUGGUGUUAGGAAAACUGUAUAUUCAAAUGCAAAAGAAUGAAGUUGGACCCUUACCUUAUACCGUAUGCAAAAGUAAACUCAAAAUGAUCCAAAGACCUAAAACUGUACAACUCUUGGAAAAAACAUUAGACAUUAUUUGUAUUUAUUGGAUAUGACACCAAAACAUAGGCAACAAAUGUAAAAAUAGACCAGUUGGACUACAUUAAAAUUUUAAAACUUCUGGGCAUCAGAGGACACAAUUCAGAGUAAAAAGACAGCCUACAGACUGGGAGAAAAUAUUUGCAAGUCAUGCAUCUAAUAAGGGGUUAAUGUCAAAAUUAUAUAAACAAUUUGUACAACUUAAAAACAAAAUAACCCAAUUAAAAAAUAUGCAAAGGACUUGAAUAGUCAUUUCGCCAAAGAUUAUAUGCAAACAGCCAACAAACAUAUGCAAAUAUGCUCAGUACCACAAAUCAUCAGGAAAAUGCAAAUUAAACCACAAUGAAAUCUCACAUCACACCAAUUAGGAUGGCCACUAUUUAAAAAAUUAACAAGCAUUGGCAAGGAUGUAGAAAUUGAAACGCCUAUGCACUGUUGGUGGGAAUAUAAAAUGAUGCAGCUGGCUUUGCAGACACUGCUGCCCCCAAGACCCCCUGCUACUAGCCAUGGUCAUCCCCAGUGUGUCCUUCAAUAUCACCAUCAACAGCAAGCCCUUGGGACACAUCUCCUUUCAGCUAUUUGCAGAUAAAGUUCCAAAGACAGAAGAAAACGUUCACUCUGAAUAAUAAAGACAAAGGAUUUGGUUAUAAAGGUUCCUGCUUUCACAGAAUUAUUCCAGGGUUUAUAUGCCAGGGUGAUGACUUCACACACCGUAAUGGAAUUGGUGGCAAGUCCAUUUAUGGGGAUAAAUUUGAUGAUAUGAACUUCAUCAUGAAGCACACAGGUCUUGGCAUCUUGUCCAUGGCAAAUGCUGGACCCAAAACUAAUGGUUCCCAGUUUUUCAUCUGCGCUGCCAUGGCCGAGUGGUUGGAUGGAACCAUGUGAUCUUUGGCAAGGUGAAAAAAGGCAUAAUAUUGUGGAAGCCAUGGAAUGCUUUGGGUCCAGGAAUGGCAAGACAAGCAAGAUCGCCAUUGCCAACUGCAGAGAACAGUAAUAAAUUUGACUGGUGUUUUGUCUUAACCACCAGACCUUUCCUUUGGUAGCUCAGGCAAGCACCAUUCCACCCCAUUUGCUCAGAGUCAUAUAAUCUUUGUGGUCUCACUACAGUUCUUUGAGUCCUAUAUUUUCAUUAUCUCCCUCCACAUAUAGCUGGAUUGCAGAGUUAAGUUUGUGAUUGUGAAGUAAAAACUAACAAAAAAAAAAAAAAGGUGCAGCUACUAUGGAAAACAGUGUCACAGUUUCUCAUAUAAUAAACAUUGAAUUACCAUAUAAUUCAGAAAUUCUGCUACUGGAUAGAUAUCCAAAAGAAUUGAAGACAGGGUUCCAGAGAAAUAGUUGUACAUCCAUGUUCAUAGCCAUGCUAUUUACAGUAGCCAAGAGGUGGAAGCCAUCUGUGUGCCCAUCCAAAGAUGAGUGGAUAAACAAAACAUGGGAUAUACAUACUCUGAAUACAGGCUUAAAAAGGAAGGAAAUUCCAACACAUGCUACAACAUGGAUGAAUCUUAAGGAAUUAUAGUAAGUGAAAUAAGCCAGUCACAAAAAGGCAAAUACUGAAUAAUUCCACUUAUAUGAGGUAUCUAGAGUAGUCAUAUUCAUAGAGACAGAAAUUAGAAUGAUUGUUGCCACCAACUGGGAGGACAGGGGUGUGAAAAGUUGUUUGAUGGGUAUUGAGUUCCAGUUUUGCCACAUAAAAAAGUUCUGAAGGUUGGUUGCAUGAUGUGAAUAUAGUAAACACUACUGAACUAUUAUUUACAAUGGUUAAGAUGAUAAAUUUUGUGAGUUUUCACUACAAUAAAAAGUAGAACAGUAGAACAGAUGAUUAGUCACAGCAGAAAAGAAGAAAAAUAGGUCAAAACAUGUUAUUAGAAAAUAUUCAAACUGAAGCAUGAAAAAGAAAAAUAUUUUUAUUAGAAAAUAUCCAAACUGAUAUAUAAAGACAUAAAGGAAUUUGUGGAGAUAGAGGGAAGAUAAGGGAAUAAAAGACAUGUGGGACACAUAAAAAAAAAAAAAAAUCCAACCUACAGAAUCCCAGAAGAGGAGAGAGAACAGGGCAGAAGCAAUGUUUGAAGAGAUAAUGGGCUGAGAAUUUCCUAAAAAUUACAAAAGACAUUAUUCCACAGAAUCAAGAAAGUGUGUGAUCCACAGAUAUAAAUACAAAGAAGCCUUACUAGAACAUGGUAGCAAAUUGCUGAAAACAAAAGACAGAGAAUACAGUCUUAAAAGACAGAAGGAAAAAAGUCACUUUUAAAUGUACAAGACUGACAGCUGACUUCUCAGCAGGAGCAGUGGAACCAGAAGACAACAGAGUGACGUUUCAAUUGCUGGAAGAAACAGCAACAACCUAGGCCUUUGCACCCUGCAAAUAUCCUUUAAAUAUGAAGCAAAUGAAGUAAUCAUUGUGUGUGUGAUGGGCAAAACGAUAGACCAAUAGAACAAUGGGACAGAAGAGAGAGUCCAAGAAUAAACCCUUCAAUGCAUGGUUAGAUGAUUAUCUCAAAAGGCACAAUAGCAUUUGAAUGAAGAACGUAAAAUCUCUGUAAUAAAUAUGGCUGGAAAACAUGGAUAUGCAUAUAGAAGAAGAAAUAGAACCCAUACUUCACAUCAUUCACAAAAAUCAAAUUAAGAUAAAAUUAUAGACAUAAAAGUAAAGCUUAAUCAAUAAAGCUACCAGAGCAAAACAUAAGAUAUUCUUUUCAAGUUCUUGGUGUAGGUAAAGACUUCUUAGAAGGCAUGAACUAUAUAAGAAAAAAAAUUGAUAAAUUGGACUUCAUUAAAAUUUCUCAGCUAGGUAUGGUGGCUCACAGUCUAAUCCCAGCACUUUGGGAGGCUGAGACAGAAGCAUUAUUUGAAGGCAGGAGUUCAAGACCAACCAGGGCAACAUAACAAGACCCCAUCUGUGUUAAAAAAUUUAAAAAUUGGCCAGCAACUCCUGUAGUCCUAGCUAUUUGAGAGGCUGAGGUGGGAGGAUUGCUUGAGCCCAGGACUUUGAGAGUGUAAUGAGCUAUGAUUGGGCCACUGCAGUCCAGCUUAAGAAGAAAUAGUUUCUCUUCAACGGACACUUAAGGAAAUAGACACAGACUUAGAGAAAAUAUUCACAAUACUUAUAUCUGACGUAGAACUUGGGUUCAGAAUAUAUAAAGAAGUCAUACAAUUUAAUAAUUUUUUAAAAGACAAUGCAGUUUUUUAAAGGAGAGUUUUGUGAACAGACAUUUCACAAAACAUGAUAUAUAAUAUGUCUAGUAAUUACAUUUUAAAAGUACCCAAUAUAUUAGUCAUCUAUAAAUGAAAAAAUCCCAGUGAAAUACCAUUUUCAUACCCUCUAGAAGGGCUACAGUGAAAAGGACUGAUAAUAACAAAUGUUGGAGACGAUGUGGAGCAACUGGAACCCUCAUAUGUUGCUUGUCGGAGUAGAAAAUAUGAUUAUUUUGGAAAACAGUUUGUCAGAUUAUUAAAGGGUUAUACACACAUGGCCCAGUAAUUUUACAGCUAGAUAUUUAUCAAAGAGACAUGAAAACAUAUGUUCACAAAAAACCUGGAAAAAAAUAUUUACAGCAGCUUUAUUCAUAAUAGCCAAUAAAACUGAGAACAGUGAGAUGCCUGUCAAAAGAAGAAUAGGUUAACAGUUAUCUAUUGAGACAGUGUAUACUGUUCAGCAAAAAAGAACCAAUAUCCACAAUAUUGAUGAAUCCCAAUAUUACUCUCACAAAAGAAGUUGGUCACAAAAAAUGCAUAAUGAUUCUAACUAUUUGAAAUUCUAGAAUAGGGAAAACUAACAUAGGAAUAGAAAUCAGAUCAGUGAUGACUUUUUGGGGGAAGGUGUUGACUGGGAUACAGCAUGAAAGAACUUUCUGGAGUGUUGGAUAUUUCUAUGACUUUGUUACUUAAUUGUCAAAAGUGAAUGUUACACUUAGGAUUUGAGCAUUUGUUAAUGUAAGUGAUACCUCACUUUUUAAAAAUGAAAGUUAAAUAAAGAUUUUAGACCACUAAAAGCUGAAAGAUGUGUGUUACCAACAGAUUGUACUAAAAAAUCACUAAAGUGUUUUUUCAGGCAGAAGGAAAAUUAUCCCACAUGGAGGCUCAGAAAUAUAAGAAAGAGCAAAAAAGCACAGAAAGGGUAAAUAUUGGAGGAGACAGAGAAAUGAGGAUGGCUGUACAACGUAAGGACAGUAACAUCUGCUGAAGGAAAAAUGGACUCUAACAAUAAUAAAGCAAUAAAAGGCAGAAGGGAACAGAAAUAAAAAUGAAAUAACAACAAUAAUAAAGCAAUAAAAGGCAGAAGGGAACGGCACUGACCACGUUCGAUAGUCCUAGGGCCAGUUGGACAUUUCACAUCCAUGCCGCUGCAGCAGAGUCGGGGGUAUACCUCCAGAGAGCCCUCACGUAGCUCGCACCGUAGUCCAGGGUCCAUUCUCUGCCCACCUGCCUUUUCUGCCACGUGUCAGUUCAGGUAGAAGGGAACAAAUCAAAUUAUUAAUUGUGGCAGCUACGCUAACUUAGAUACCCUAGGUUCCAAAACAGAAUCAAUAUCUUUUGUAAUAGCCCCAUGGACAUUACAUGGGGAGGGACAUGGCUGGCUAUGAGAACCCUGACACUUGGAAACUCAAAGCUGUUGCUUUUCAUCAGGUAUUUGUAGUUUAUUUACAGUCAUCCCAGUCCAGAUAGGUUUACCAACUAGUGUUAUUUUUUUUUUUUUUUUACCAAAUGUUACCUGUAACAGAUAUUAGAUAUUUAGGGAAAUAAAGCUACGAGUUUAAUCCAACAUGGUUUUCCAUUUUAGGCUCACAAACUGACUCACAACCUUGAGUUAGUAACUUCAGUACUGACUUUAGGGUAGAUAAGAAUUACCUGGAGGCCUUGUUAAAACACAGAUUGUUGGUCCCUAUGACUUACUUCCUAACUCAGUAGCUCUAGGGUGAGGCUUGAGAAUUUACAUAUCCAGUAAGUUCCCAGGUGAUACUGGUGAUACUGCCGACCCAUGGACCACACAUUGAAACCAAUGCCUUAUUCAGUAACAGUGAUAACAAAGUACAAGUGCCCCUUUCCUGUUGACUAUUCACAAAAGGGUCCUCAUAUACUCUUAGCUUCAACUUUUAAAAUACUAGUCAUUAUUAUUUCUUCAAAAGCCCGUCUCUAAUUGUCUCCUUAGGGAGUUUUUGAGUUUGCAUUGACAUUGUCACUGUCAGCAGAUGGCUUUGACCAGAUUCCAUUUUAGGGUUAAAUCCAUCUGCAUUAUCAGAAUCCUCAGGUUGCAGCUUAGAGGGCUCCCCCAGUGGCCGUAGACUUGCACCAAGCUGCUGCCAUUGCCACUGCACCAGUUUGUAUGCCAGAUUACCACAUAGUCCUAUGCAACCGUGUGGGCUGCUGCAGAGUAGUUCCUCUACUGUCCUCCACCUCCUCAGGUAGUGGCUCAUAGACAUCACUCCGUGCUGACUGGAUGAGCAGGCAACUCAGCUUGGUCAGAGCCAGCCGCCUGCUCCACCCACUUUGUCCUAUCACAGACCCAGUCACAGACAUAAACUCUCAAACCCAUGUGCUUGUCUCCUUCCCACUCCCAGCCAGGAAACAAUGCCUAGUUUGGCCUAAAUGCAUCAGCCGCACCAAGGCAAAAUCGUUUCUGCCAACUAGCCCAGGGGCAGCUGGGUUUCUGGUCAAGUCUAUUUUAUGGACAGUGAAGAGGAGUAGACAGUGUCUCUCAUCAUAAGUUUGUCUCCAGCUUUCAUCCCUUCCCACAAGGGGAAGAUUUCCAAGGGAACAUAACCAAAAGAUUAACAUGAGGUCAACUUCCCAUGAGUAUUCAUUGAUGAAGUGCCUGGUUUUAGCAUUAUCAAGAAAGGAAUGGAAGUAAGGUAAUAAUAUGAAUCUUUAGUGUGUAAUAGGUUGAAAAUGCAUGUUGCAAUUUCUAGGCUAACCACUUAAAGAAUAGCAAAACGUGUGCGAUUAAAGGAAAAAGAAAAACAAACAUUUGAUAAAUUUUUUUAAAGCGACAGAGGAGGACAAAAGGAAUGGGUGAAAUAAAAGGCAAAUCGUUAAAUGACAGAUAAACCCAAUACAUCAGUAAUCAGAAUAAAUAUAAAAGGAGGAAGUACUCCAGUUCUCCAGACUGACAUUAUCAACUGGGUUUAAAAAUAUUAACCAAAUUAUGUGCUUUUUAAAAGUAACACUUCUUAAAUACACAACAGUUGAAAUUAUACAGAUUUUUCAAAGCUGUAUCGGCCAGUCACAGUGGCUCAUGCCUGUAAUCCAGGCAUUUUGGGAAGCCAAGACAGGAGGAUUGCUUGAGACCAGGAGUUUGAGACCAGCUUGGACAACAUAGUGAGACCAUCUCUACCAAAGAACGCAAAUAAACCAACCUACCCAAGCAUGGUAGCAUGCCCUGCCUACUCUGGAGGCUGAGGCAGGAGAAUCCUGAGCCCAGGAGUUUGAGGCUGCAGUGAGCUAUGAUUGUACCAGUUCCCUCCAGCCUGGGUGACUGUUUUCAGAAAAGAAAAAAGAUAUAUCAUGCAAAUACUAGUAAAAAGUAAGUCAGUGUAGCUAUACUAAUAUCAGACUAAUAUGUAAUUUAAGGCAAGAAGCAUUACUACAGUUAAAGACAGAUAUUUCAUAAUGAUAAAAUGAUCAGUCUACCAGGGAUAUAGAAAAUUAUAAAUUUAUAUGUAACUAAUAGCAUAGUUUUAAGUUAUAUAACAAGUAUUAAACACGAAUCUGCAGUCAUAGUGGAAUUUAACAUACCCCUCACUAAGUGAUAGAAUUAAGCAGACAAAAUUGGCUAAAAAUAUAAAUCAUCCUACUAAAAAACAAACAACCUAACUGAUAUUUAUAUAAUGUUGAUUUCAACUAUGACAGACCACUCAUUUUUAAAAAGCUAUAUGGAACAUUUACCAUCUUGAUCAUAACCUGAGUCAUAAAUUAAGCCUCAGUUAACUUUUAAUACAUUUAAAUCAUUUACAUUAUGUUUUCUGACCAUAGUAGAAUUAAGCUAAAAAAAGAUCAGAAACAAAAGAAAAGAUAGAAAAUCUCCAGGCCAGGUGCAGUGGCUCACACCUGUAAUCCCAACACUUUGGGAGACCAAAGCCUGUGGAUCACCUGAGGUCAGGAGCUCAAGACCAGCCUAGCCAACGUGGUGAAACCCCAUUUCUACUAAAAAUACAAAAAUUAGCCAGGUGUGGUGGUGCAUGCUUGUAACCCCAGCUACUUGGAAGGCUGACACAGGAGAAUCAUUUGAACUCAGUAAGUGAAGGUUACAGUGAGUUGUGAUUGCUCCACUGCACUCCAGCCUGAGCAACAGAGCAUGACUCCAUCUAAAGAAAAAAAAUUCUCCAGCUAGGACACGGUGGCGCAUGCCUGUAAUCCCAGCUACUCAGGAGGCUGAGGAAGGAGAAUUGCCUGAACCCAGGAGGUGGAGGUUGCGGUGAGCCGAGAUCGCACCAUUGUUACCAGCCUGGGUAACAAGAGCGAAACUCCGUCUCAAAAAAAAAAAAAAAAAAAAAAAUCUCCAGCUAAUUUGGUAACAAAAUUAGAAAAUAUUUUGAAAUAUCUAAUGCAGUAUAAAAGAUACGGCAUAUCAGAACAUGUGGGAUGCAAUUAAAGCAGUACUUGAGGGGAAGUUUAUAACCUAAAUGGAUAUAUUAGUUUAAAACAGAAAGGGGAAAGGAGAUGAAAGUCAUUGAUGUAUGCUUCUAGCUCAAAAAGCUAGAAAAAGAACAAAUCAAAACCACACUAUAUUGAGAUAUUUUUCACUCAUCACAUUGGCAAAAAGUCAGAAGUUUGAUAAGACAAAACCUCUUAGACUGUGGGGAAACACAGGGCCAUAAGUUGCUAAUGAAAAUGUGAAAUGGGCUGGGUGCGGUGGCUCAUGUCUAUAAUCCUAGGACUUUGGAAGGCUGAGACAGUGGAUCACUUGAGGUCAGUUCAAAACCAGCCUGUCUAACAUGGUGAAGCCCUGUCCCUACAAAAAAUUUUUUAAAAAUUAGCUUGGUAUGGUAGCAGACAUCUGUAAUCCCAGCUACUCAGGAGGCUGAGGCAGGAGAAUCGCGUGAACCGGGGAGGCACCACUGCACUUCCUCCUGGGCAACUGUCUCAAAAAAAAAAAAAAAAAAGGAAAUGGAUGACCUUUACAGGGAAGAAAUUGACUGUAUCUAGCAAAAUUAUACAUUCAUUUACCCUUUUAGCCAGCAAUUCUACUUUUAGUAAAUAUUUCCAAAAAUGCAUUGGCAAAAACAUUAAAACAAAAAUACUUAUGAAUGAGGCUGUUUAUUGUAACCUUAUUUGUAGCAAAGUGGAAAUAACCCAAAUGCCCAGCAGUAGUAGAGUGAUUAAAUGAGAAGUUCCCCAUGGAUGUACAUUAUGUGUGAACAUCCACACAGUGGAGGCUUCCACAGCUGUCAAAGAGAAAAAGGACCAUCUCUAUGAAAUAAAAUCUCCAUGCUAUCAAGUGAGGGAAAAAAAGUGGAAAAAAUACAAUAUCUUAGGUUACUAUUUAUCUUUUUUUUAAAAUGGCAAGGGAAGAGUGGAUAAAUAUAGAGAAAAAGUUAUUUUUAAAUAGAAGACUAAAUCUUAAAAAUAUUUUUAAAUGGUUUUCCAUAGAGGAAAGAAAAUAGGAGGAGAGGACAAGGAAUGAAGCUGGGAUCCUUUAAUCUACAUUAUUUUUCAGUUUGACUUUGAAACCAAGUAAAUAUUUGGCACAAAUACACAAAAUUUUUAAUAAAGCAGUUUUUACUUAAAAGUAAAAUUAAAUGAGCCUAACUGUGUAUUCAGUUGGUAUUAUAACCAUAUCAAGGGGAAUUAUCAAGAGGAAUUAUUCCAAGUGACUUUAAAACACAAUUACAGUUGACCCUUGAACAACAUGGAAGUUAGGGGUGCCAACUCCCUACACCACUUAAAAUCCACAUAUAACUUUUGACUCCUCAAAAACUUAACUACUGUUAGCCCACUGUUGACUUACCAAGUCUGGGAAAGCAAGGAAGCUCCCAAUGACAACAAAGUUUGUAACAAAAUAAUUUGAAAUGAACUUGAAUAAGCUCCCAUUGGCCAAACACAGGACAGUUUGAGCAACAGGAAGAUAAUAACUGCAGUGAAUGAAAUGCAUCUCAUACAGUUAAACUACUGAAUUUGCUAUGAUAAUUGUGCCUUGGAGAACGUAUGGUAUACUAGUUCGUUUUCACUCUGCUGAUAAAGACAUACCUGAAACCAGGAACAAAAAGAGGUUUAAUUGGUCUUACAGUUCCACAUGGCUGAGGAGGCCUCAGAAUCAUGGCAAGAGGCAAAAGAUAUUUUUUACAUGGCGGCAGCAAGAGAAAAAUGAGGAAGAAGCAGAAGUGGAAACCCCUGAUAAACCCAUCAGAUCUCAUGAGACUUAUUCACCAACACAAGAAUAGCAUGGGAAAGACCAGCCCCCAUCAUUCAAUUACCUCCCACUGGGUCUCUUCCACAACACAUGAGAAUUCUGGGAAAUACAAUUCAAAUUGAGAUUUGGGUGGGGACACAAACCAUAUCACAUGGAAAUAGAUUUUUUUCAGUAUAGAUAUAAGUAAAAGUAAAAAGCAUGUAUCUUUCCUUUUCUAUAUUAGUAUUUUGCAGGGGGUGAGCAGUUGAUGAGGGAAAGUCUCUCUAGGAAUAUUCCAAUUAAUAAAUUGGCAGUGAUAACCUCAGAAUAUUACAGUUUUGUAACUCUUAAUGAAUUUAUGGCAAUAAUUAUCACUGGCUACUAAUAUCUCAAAUAGAGACACCCAGGCAGCAUGUAUGUUCAUUAGAAGCACACAUCACUGCCUAUAAAAUAGUUUCAUCCCUACUCUUUAGAAGUUAAGUCUAAACCAGUCACUUCUCUAAUUACAAUUUAUGAGAAAUAAUGGAACAAAGGAGCAUGUUAAAUGGUGCCAUGAGGAUGCAAUAGCAGAGUCUAAUGCAGAAAACCUGCAGGACAAAUAACCCUAUUUCUUCUACGAAAAUAAAUUUGGAAAGAAAAAAUCUGAUGAAGAUGGAUGGACUCCAAAGAUCACAGCAGACUUAAGGAGAAAGCAGCCAAUUACAAUGUAUGGAGCUCAUUUAGAUUGUGAUUCAAACUGUAAAAGCAAAAGGAAACUUCUGUAAGACACUUGGGGGACUUAGGAACACCAGCUGAAUACUUGAUGAUAUUAAAUAAUCAUUUUCACUUCUUUAGGCAUAAUGUACAUAAGCUUAUAUUCUAAACGUUGAGAUUUUAUCUUUUAGAGGCAUAUGCUAAAGAAUUUACUGGUAAAAUUAUAUGAAAUCUGGAAUUUGCUUCACAUUAACAUGGAUAAGGGUAUAGAUGAAACAACAUUGGCCAUGAGUUGAUAAAUGUUGAAGCUGAAUGAUCAGCACAUGAGGGUUCAUUAUGUUUUAUUUAUUUAAUUUAAAGAGGGUAUCCAUCUGUCACCCAGGCUAGAGUGCAGUGACACAGUCAUAGCUCACUGCAGCCUCACACUCAUGGGCUCAAGUGAUUCUCUGCCUCAUCCUCCCUGCCCCACCCCCCAAGCCCCUCCAAAUAGGACAACAGGCAUGGACCAUGCCAAGCUAAUUUUUAAUUUUUUUUUUUUUUUUUUUUUGUAAAGAUGCAGUCUCACUAUGUUGCCUAGACUGGUCUCAAACUCCUGGCCUCAAGCAAUUCUCCCACCUUGGCUUCCCAAAUUACUAAGAUUACAGGUGUGAGCCACCAAACCCAGCCAGGAGUGCAACUUUAAAAAGAGUAGUUCCUUUAUUUUUAUAUACACUUGAAGUUUUUCAUUAUAAAACAUUUAAGUGAUGUGAUUACGAAGAUGAAAAAACAAAUAGUAUCAGAAAUGAGUAGGUAAAUUUAAAAAGCAAAUUCGCACUUCUUCAACAAAAAUAAAUUGUGUAAGUCAGAUAUUCAGUUGAUAGGUUACAUGAAUUAGACAUAAUUAAAUAGUGAAUUGCAAGCUUUGUAAAAAAAAAUUUACCUGGAUUAUAAUAGAGAUAAGGAGACAAAUGAAUCAACACGCUUAGGAAGUAUCAUGUAUUCCAACCUGGAAAAAUAAAAAAUCCAUACCUACAUACAUUAUAGUAGAACUAACAGCAAAGGUAAAGGUGUCUUAAAGCAUCUGUUUCUGUCAGGGUACUGCCAGGAAAACAGAAAUAACACUAGAUAUUUCAGAAAAGCCAAUUUAAUUUAGAGAAUUGAUUGCAUUGUUGUAGAGAGCUGAAAGAGAAAAAGGAAACAAGGAAGUAAACGAGAGAUAACUGUAGGGAACCAGCUCCACCUCAAGGUGUGGCAGCAAGUGAUUAGAGUUUUCAGAAUUUGAAAGUUCACAGAAGAAACCCUGAGGAGCUGGAACUCCUGCUUAUGCAAAGGACAGCACUGCCGUAGAAAGGUGCAAUGAGGCUGGGUCUGGGAGUGCUGAAAGAGCCUGGAGACUGGAGUGCUGUUGCUGGCAUAACACUGACAGGAGCAGCAUGCAAACAGAAAGUCCCUUCUCCCUCUUGCCUUCCAAUCUCCUAGUGCACAUGUUUGCUGAACCUAACAAGAAGCCUGUUAACAAACAAGAAAUGUGCUUUGCAGAGUUGCAGCAGACUUAUGACAAAGCAGAUUUGAACCUGAAAGAUACAAACCCAAACAUGGUGGAAAAUAAUGAUUUGUGGGAUUUUAAAAGAAAUGACUGAAAGACUGUACAAAGUAGAAUGCAUAUUCAAGAAUGGGAUGAUCAGAGUUUAGGUUUUCAAAAGUUCUUUUAUUGUUCAGGAGAAGAGACUUAAUACAUUGUUUAGACUUCGUUACAUUUUUACAAUAAAAUUUAAGGAUAUCAUUAAAAGAAUGCACAAAUCUAAAACCUGUGAGAAUAAAAUAAUGAUGUAAGAAGAGAAUGACCCAAAAAUAUCAAUAGAAGAAAAUGAAAAAAAGAAGGCAUUCAACAAUCUGGACAAAUACAAAAUAAUCUAUAAUAUAGCAGUGACAAUAAUGUCAAAUUGGAAAAUUUUUAAAGGAACUGCAUAUUUUUAUGACUCACACCUAAAACAUAACAGAAAUGUUUCAACAGUUGGAAAAUAAAUACCAGAUACAAACUAAUCAAAAGGAGGUACGCAUAGUUAUAUUAAUUACCUGAAAACUAUGUAUUUCAAAAUAAAAAGUAUUAAGAUUAGAGAGAAUGACUGCAUAAUGAUAAAAUGUUUAAAUUACCAGAAAGAUGUACCAGUUCUAAAUUUAAACAUAUUCAGUAAAAUAACCUCAAAAGAGGUAAAGCAAGAAAAAAAAAGAUCUAAAGUUAGAAAUUGCAAAUCUGUUGACAUAAACACCCUUCUCCAUUGUGGCUAAGCCAGUCAGUUUGUACCUAUGUUUAUGUUCAUGAGAGAUAUUGGUCUGUGGUUUUUUAUUAUAAUGUUUUUGUGAAGUUUUGUUACCAGGAUAUUAACGGCCUUGUUUAAUGUGUUAGAAGUGUUUCCUUCACUUUAGUUUUCUGAAAGAGUCUGUAGAGAAUUGGUGUUCUUCUUUAAAUAUCUGGUAGAAUUUGCCAGUGAAGCCAUCUGGUACUACAGUUCUCUUUGUGGGAGGUUUUUAAUUACAGUUCUAGUAUCUUUAAUAGAUAUAGGGCUAUUCAAAUUAUCUCUUCUUUGGUGAUCUUUGGUAAUUGUGUCUUUCAAGGGAUUUGUUCAUUUCAUCUAAGUUGUUUAAUUUAUAGGCAUAAAGUUCUUCAUAUUAUUUUCUUAUCCUUUUACUAUCUGUAGGAUCUGUAGUAAUGGACCUUCUCUUAAUCCCGAUAUUGGUAUUUUGUAUCUUCUCUCUUUUUUUUCUGAUCAGACUCACUAGAAGUUUAUGAAUUUUAUUUAUUUAUUUAUUUUUGGAUGGGGACAGAGUCUCACUCUCUCCCAGGCUGGAGUCCGUGAUACAUACUCUCAGCUCACUGAAACCUCUGCCUCCUGGGUUGAAGUCAUUCUCGUACCUCAGCCUUCUGAGUAGUUGGGAUUACAGGCAGGUACCACCACACCUGGCUAAUUUUGUGUACUUUUAGUAGAGAUGAGGUUUCACGAUGUUGCCCAGACCAGUCUCAAACUCCUGAGCUCCAGUGAUACACUCACCUCAGCCACCAUGCCUGGCCAGUUUUAUUGAUUUUAAAUAAUCAGUUUGGGGAUCCCCACUGACUUUUCAACAUCUUUUUGUUUUCUCUUUCAUUUAUGUCUGCUUUUAUCUUUGUAAUUUGUCUUCUGCUUCUUAGGAUUUAAUUUUUUAUUCUUUUUUUAGGUUUUUAAUAGUUUUUUUCUUAAGUUUUUAAUAUAAGUUGUAUCAUUGACUUGAUCCCUCUCUUCUUUUCUAAUGUAGAUGUUUAGUGCUAAAAGUUUCCUGUAAAUUUGUGACAAAUUUGAUCUGUCAUGUUUUCAUUUUCAUUCCGUGUAAAGUACUUUUUAGUUUUCCUUCUGAUUUUUUUGGCCCAUGAGUUAUUUAGGAGUAUGAUAUUUGGUUUCCAACUAUUUGGGUGUUUUCUAGAUAUCUUUCUUUAGUUGGUAGCUAGUUUAAUUCCAUUGUAGUAAAUGAACAUACUUUGUAUGAUUUUCAUUCUUUCCCACUUAUUCAAGCUUGUUUUAUGGGCCAGAAUAUGGUCUACCUUGGUAAAUGUUUCAUGUGCUCUAGAAAGGAAUACUGACUUCUGCUGUAGGUGGAGCAUUUUAGAAACAUCAGUUAGGUUAAGAUCAUGAUAGUAUUGUUCAUGUUUUCUUUGUCUUUACUGAUUUUCUUGGUCUUCUAUAAAUUGUUAAGAGGCUAAAAUAUUCAACUAUAUUAAUAAUUAUGAAUUUGUUUAUAUAUUAUUUUAGUCCUGUAAGUUUUUGAUUUGUGUAUUUCUAAGUUCUGUUACUAGGUAUAGAAAUCAGUAAAAUAGAAAACAAAGAUACAAUAGAGAAGAUGAACAAUCUACAAGUUAUAUUUCUUUGAAACAAAUAGUAAAAUAAACUUCUGGCAAAAUUAGAUAAAAAGUACAGAUACUCAGUGUAAGGGAAAAGGGUGAAACAAAACUAUAAUUAUAUCAAAUUAAGAGAUAAGAAAGGGGUAUAAUUACAACUUUAUGCCAAUAAAUUGAAAAACAAGUCGAAUUCUUAGAAAAACGUAAUGUACUUAAACUGAUUCAAGAACAAAAAGAAAACCUGAAGAGUCUUCUAAUUCUCAAAUAAAUUGAAGUAAUACAUUUUUUAGAAAUCUUCUCACAAAGAACACAACAAGGUCUAUUGAUUUUGCAAGUAUGAAUUGAGAAAUACCUCAUCCUAAUAUAAACAGACUUCCAGACAUAAGAAAAGGGUAUGGCAUACCAGUUAAUUCCUUGAAACGGGUAUAGCCUUUAAAACAAAACCAGACAUUGUGAGAAAGAAAAAUUAUUCAUAGUUAUAUAUGUUGCCAUGUGUAAUUUUUAAGUUAGAGACCACUAACCUCAUGAACUUAGGUUUCAAAACCAUUAAGUAAAAUAUUAACAGAUUGACUCCAGCAGCACAUUUCUUUAAAAAAAAGAUAUACCUUGAUAUAUCCAACUUGUUGGGUUUAUCCCAGAAAUACUGAAAAUGGUCUAACUCUAGGAAAACGUAAAAGUUUCAUCACCAAAUUAAAGGAGAAAACUAUGGAAUCAUUUUAGAUUGCAUUUGACAUAAUCCAUACCCAUUUAUGAUGUAAAACUAAUGUAAAUAAUGUGGUGAAAAGAAUCAACAGAACGUCUACUUCAAAGAUGAUUCUUAAUGAGAAAAUAAGAAAAAAGUUUUUUGAAAUCAGGAAAAAGAAUGCAGACCAUCACCACUUCUUUUCAACCUUGUACUGAAACUCCUAGCACGUAUAGUAAAUCAAUAAAAAGAAAUUAGGCUGGGCUCAGUGGCUCACGCCUAUAAUCCCAGCACUUUGGGAGGCCAAAGUGGGCAGAUCACUUGAGGUUAGGAGUUCGAGACCAGCCUGAUCAACAUGGUGAAACCCCCAUCCUAAAAACAUAUAAAUUAGCCAGGCAUGGUGGCACAGCCUGUAAUCCCAGCCAUUCAGGAGGCUGAGGCAGAAAAAUCACUUGAACCCAGGAGGCAGAGAUUGCAGUGAGCCAAGAUUGCAUCACUGUACUCUAGCCUGGGCAAUAGAGUCAGACUCCGUCUCAAAAAAAAAGAAAGAAAGAAAGAAAUGGCAAAAGUAUAAAGAAGAAAAAGCAAAAUAUUAUUCAGAGAUGAUAUGAUUAUCUGUAUAGUAAACCCCAAAGAAUCUACAGACAGUUUUUUGGAAACACUAUUUUCCUCAAAGUAACUUCCUAUAAACUCAAAAAUUAAAAAGUUGCAUUUCUGUACAAUAGCACAAAAUUUGAAAGUGUAAUUUUUAAAAGUAUACAUUGUUUCAAAAAUAUAAAGUUCUCAGUAAAUCUUAUAAAAAUUAUUAACACCUGUAUGCGCAAGAGAUAAAACUUUAUCAAAAAGUAUUUUAAACAGCCUACAUAAACAGAUAUAUAAUGUUCAUGGAUAAGAAGGCACAUGUUAUGAACAUGUCAGUUUUUCCCAAUUUGAUUUAUAGAGUCAAUGCUAUUGUAAGCAAAGCACCAGCAGGGUUUUUUAUGGCACUUGAAAAGCAGGUCUUUAUAUGGAAAGGUAAAGCUUGAAGAAUAGACCUGACACUCUUGAAAAUAAAAAUAAGUCAGAAUUGCCUUACUUUUAUAAUAAAACAAAACAUUAUGCAUUUUGCUCAAGCAUAAACAAAAAUGGCUAGGAAGACUAAAUGGAAAGCCCAGAAACAGACUCUAACACAGGGGUCCCAAUUCCCAGAGCACAGACAGUCUGUGGCCUGUUAGAAGCUGGGCUACACUGCAGGAAGUGAGUGGCAUGUGAGCUUCAUCUCUAUUUACAGCAACUCCCUAUCACUUGCAUUACUGCCUGAGCUUCUCCUCCUCUGCCUUAGAUUCUCAUAGGAGCGCAAACCCUAUUGUGAACUGCAUGCACAUGCAAGGGAUCUAGGUUGCACAAUCCUUAUGAGAAACUAAUGCCUUAUGAUCUGUCAUUGUCUCCCAUCACCUCCAGAUGGGACCAUCUAGUUGCAGGACACAAGCUCAGGGCUCCCACUGAUUCUGCAUUGUGGUGAGUUGUAUAGUCAUUUCACAAUGUAAUAAUAAUAGAAAUAAAGUGCACGAUAAAUGUGAUGCACUUAAAUCAUCCCGAAACCACCCCCUACGCCGUCCAUGGAAAAUCUGUCUUCUAUGAAACCAAAAACAGUUGGUGCCAAAAACAGUUGGGGACCUCUGCACUAACAUAUAGAACUGUGAUAUGUUAAAAACUGUGAUAUAUGAUAUGUUAACAUAAAGAACUGUGAUAUAUUAUUGAAAAUUGUUAUGAAGAGAAGGGACUAUUCGGGAAAUGUACUGGGGCAAUUGCUUAGUUAAUUUCAAUCUUCAUAUCUUACACAAAAAUUCAAUUCCACAUGAAUUAAGGGCUCAAGUAUCAAAAACAAAAUGUUAAAAAUAAGAGUAAAAUAUAGGAGAUGAUCUUUCUGGCUGUGGAGUAAGGAACGUUUUCUUCUUAAAGAAGACACAAAAUAACUAUAAAAGAAAAUGUUAAAUGAAUUCAAGUAUAUUAAAGUUUAGUUUUUUUAAUUAAAGAGAGGCAAGCCAGAGGGAAAACAUGUAACACAUUUAAUCCACAAAAGAUUAAUAUACAAAAACAUAUAAAUUGAUGAAAAGUAAUAAAAUAGAAAAAUGCAUAAAAGAUAUUAACAGACAUUUCACAAAAAGAAAUUAUAUAUGUGAUGAAUAAAUGUAAGAAACAAUUCUCAGUCUCACUAGUAAUCAGGAAGUGCUAAGUACUACCACAGGAAGAUGCCAUUUUCCCCUCACCCGGUGCGGUUAGGAAGGAUAUGGAUCAAGAGUUCCUUUUAAACAAUGUUAAUGGGGUUGUAAGCUGGCAUAGUGCCUUUGGGAAACAAUGUGGCGAUCUCUUGGUUUUCUUUUUUUGAACAUAUGCAUAUCCUGUGGCCCAGAAAUUCUGCUCCUUGGUAUCUACUGUAGACUAUAGCAAGACACAGUCGAACAGGAAGCAAUCUAAAUGCCUGUCUACAGAAAAUGGAUAAAUACCGUGUAGUAUAUUCAACUUAAUGAGCAUUGAAUUGUGCAGCAAGGAAACUGAAUAAACAUAACAUAAAUGCAUCUUAGAAAUACAAUAUUGAAUAAAAAAUCCCAAAUUGGACUAAUCUGCGGACAGUACACCGUAAUCCCCCCUUAUCUGCGGCUUUCUUUUCCAUGGUUUCAGUUACCUACAGUCGAUCUUGGUCCAAAACUAUUAAAUGGAAAAAUUCCAAAAAUAAGUAAGUUUUUAAGUUGUCCACCAUUCUGAGUAGCAUGAUGAAAUCACCUGCUGUCGGGCUCAGUCCACACGGGAUGCAAAUCACCUCUUUACCCAGUGUAUCCACACUGUAGAGGCUCCCUGCCUCUCAGUUAUCAGAUUGAAAAAACAUAGUAAAUAUAUAAAACUGGAUCCUAUCCACGGUUUCAGGCCUCCACUGGGAGUCUUGGAAUGUAUCCCCCUCAGGUAGGAGGGAUUACUGUAUGAUUUUUAUAAAGUGCAGGAAGAAGUAAACUAAUAUAUAUUGUUGAAUCAAGUAUACAUGUAUGCCAGUAAUAGAACUCUGUUUAAAAGGAGAAAUGGAAUAAUUAAGUUAAAUUUAGAAGAGUGUGUGAGGAUGGAAUGAUGUAAGAACACAUAGUUAAUACAAGUUCAUUUUUCAGUAAGGUAGUCAUUUCUGGAAUAUUCAUUAUUGUAUGUUUUACAGCAUGAAUAUGUUUUAUAUAGUUAUAUAUUUACUAUUUAUGUUAUAUAAUUAUAUAUUUACUUGGCCUGGUGGCUUAUGCCGGUAAUCCUAACACUUUGGGAGACUGAGGCGGGAGGAUUACUUGAGCCCAGGAUUUCAAGAACAGCCUGGACAUGGCAACAUCCCAUCUCUACAAAAAAAUAUAAAAAUUAGCCAAGCAUGGUGGUACACACCUGUAGUCCCAGCUACUCAGGAAGCCAAGGUGGGAGGCUGAGACAGAAGUAUCACUUGAGCCCAGGAGUUCAAGGCUUCAGUGAACUAUGAUUACACCACUGCACUCCAGUGUGGGGGACAGAGCAAGAUCUGCCUCAGAAAAAAGAAGAAAUUAUAUAUUAUAUGUGUAUUUAAUUAUUUAUGUUCUUUUGUGUGUCAGAUAUUAGCAUUAAAUAAAGAUUUUUUUAUUUUUUUGAGUUGGAUUCACACUCUGUCACCCAGGCUGGAGUACAGUGGCACAAUCUUGGCUCACUACAACCUCCGCCUUCCAAGUGCAAGUGAUUCUCCUGCCUCAGCUUCCUGAGUAGCUGAUAUUACAGGUGCCUGCCACCUGUAAUAUUAGCCUGGCUAAUUUUUUUGUAUUUUUAGUAGAGUUGGGGUUUCACCAUAUUGGCCAGGCUUGUUUUGAACUCCUGACCUCAAGUGAUCCGCCUACCUCAGCCUCCUAAAAGUGCUGAGAUUACAGGCAUGAGCCACUGCACCAGGCCUAAGAUCAUGUUAUUUAAAAUCCUUUUGGAAUGCCAGUCAAAAAGAACAAGUUACUUGACAAGAAGGAACAAGUCAGGCUAGCCUCAGAUUUCUCUGCAGCAGCAUUCGACACCAAGAGGCAAUAGAGAAAUGCUGACACAUUAUUUGAGGAAAGAAUAAGCUGUGGUUUUAAAUCCAACCAAGCUGUCUCUUAGCCCUGAAAGCAGCAGACAGGAAGUUUUCAACAUAUAUGAGUGUAUUCAUUUGCUAGGGCCGCUAGAACGAAAUACCACAGGCAAGGUGGCUUAAACGGCAAAAAUUUAUUUGAUCACAGGUCUGGAGGCUGGAAGUCAAAGAUCAAAGUUCUGGCAGAGUUGCUUUCCUCUGAGACCUCUCUCUGGCUUGCAAUUGGCCACCCUCUUGCUGCCUCUUCACACGGUUGUUUCUCUGUGCACAUGGGACCCUGGUUUGUCUCUCCUUCUUCUAGGUCCUUCCUAUAAAUCCAGUCAUUUACAGUUAGGGCCCCACUCUCAUGGCCUUAUUUUAACUUAAUCACUGCUCUAAAGACUUCCAAAUACAGUUAUAUUCUGAGAUACAGGGGAUUGGGACUUAAAAAUAUGAAUUUUGGCCAGGCAUGAUGGCUUAUGCCUGUAAUGCCAGCACUUUGGGAGGCCAAAGCGGGCAGAUCACAAGGUCAGGAGUUCAAGACCAGCCUGGCCAGCAUGGUGAAACUCUGUCUCUACUAAAAAUACAAAAUUAGCUGGGCAUGGUGGCACAGGCCUGUAGUCCCAGCUACUUGGGAGGCCAAGGCAGGAGAAUCACUUGAACCUGGCAGGCGAAGGUUGCACUGAGCUGAGAUCAUACUCCAGCCUGGGCAACAGAGCAAGACUCCAUCUCAAAAAAAAAGUGAAUUUUAGGGGAACAUGGUUCAACCCAUAUCAGUGAUCUCAUAGAAUAUUGUUCCCAUGAGCUCUUCUUGAGGAAACUUUUAGAAGAUGAGCUUUUAGCCAACCAGGAGAUGAUUGGGAAAAUCACACAAAACUAAUGUCAGUGAUCACUGAUUAUAUUCAGCUGUAAAACCAAUACUAGAACAAAGGUGAGGCAUACAGUGAUAGGCCAGAAUGUAAAUACACUAUGCCCUGACAAUGUGGAAUUAUAAAAUUGACAAAGGUUAUAUUGAAAAAAAAUCAGACAAGCAGUUAAGUUUUCUGAGUGCCUCUUCUGUAACGGCUGGGAGUCAGAGAUCUUCAACCAAAGUGGUAAAUGACACAGACUUUAAAAAUCCAAAAUUAGACCUAAGUUAAAAAUUUAGCCUACAUUAAAUACUGUAGUUUUAUAUAUAGUAAAGGUAGUAUCUCACUGGGGAAACAGGUGAAUUAUUAAUUAAAUUUUGAGACGAAUUAGUAGCUAACUGGAGAAAAGAUAAGUUGGAGCCAUAUCUUUUACUUUACAGCAGGUAAAAUUUCAAAUGGAUUAAAUAUUUAAACAUAAAAAAAGAAAUUAUAAAAAUUCUGUAGGGGAAAUGGUAAAAUUUUUCUUUUUCUUUUUCUUUUUUGAGACGGAGUUUUGCUCUUGUUACCCAGGCUAGAGUGCAAUGGUGCGAUCUCAGCUCACCGCAACCUCUGCCUCCUGGGUUCAGGCAAUUCUCCUGCCUCAGCCUCCUGAGUAGCUGGGAUUACAGGCACACACCACCAUGCCCAGCUAAUUUUUUUGUAUUUUUAGUAGAGACGGGGUUUCACCAUGUUGACAGGAUGGUCUCAAUCUCUUGACCUCGUGAUCCACCCACCUCGGCCUCCCAAAGUGCUGGGAUUACAAGUGUGAGCCACUGUGCCCGGCCUCUUUUUCUUUUUAAGAAACAGGGUCUAACUCCGUCUCCCCCAAGCUAACGUGUACUGAGCGGCAUGAUCAUAGCUCACUGUAACCUCAAACUCCUAGGCUCAAGUGAGCCACCUGCCUCAGCCUCCUAAGUAGUGGAGACUGCAGGUAUACAACAUCCCACCCAGCUAAAUUUUUUAUUUUUUGUAGAGACAGGAUCUUGCUGUGUUGCCCAGGCUGAUCUCCUCCUGCCUUGGCCUCCCAAUGGACUGAGUUUACAGGCAUGAGUCACCAUGCCUGGCCCAGUAAAAUUUUUUGAUAACCUUGGAAUGAGAUAGGGCUUUCUAACUACAACUAAAAAUCCAGAAGUCACUGGAGAUCAUUAAAAAGCCAAACUCUGUAGCAAUCAAAAUCUGUAUCACACAAAGUACCUACCGUUAAGUCCAAAGGCAGACUUUAAACUCGGGAAACAUAUCUGUAAUUCAUAUCAUAGGCAAGGAUGAUCUCCCUAAAAUGUAAAGAGCUUUUUACCAACAGGCAAGAUAAAAACCUCUUAGAACAAUUAACACAAUAUAAAAACAGAUAGUUUACAGAAAAGACAUACGAAAAGCUAACGAAUAUGAAAGGAUGGGCAGCUCCUCUCAUAAGAAGGGAAAUGCAGAUUCAAACCACGUUUCUCAGAUUGGCAGAGGACUAAGAUCUUAGUAACAGACUCUGUGGUGGGGCUAUAAAGAAAUGGUGAUACUCAUAUGUUUCUGGCAGGAGAUUAAAUUGUUAUAAUCCGCCUGGGCGUGGUGGCUCAUACCUGUAAUUUCAGCACUUUGGGCAGCCGAAGUGGGUGGAUCACCUGAGGUCAUGAGUUCAAAACCAGCCUGGCCAACAUGGUGAAACUCUGUCUCUACUAAAAAUACAAAAAUUAGAUGAGUGCAGUGGCUCACGCCUGUAAUUCCAGCUACUGGGGAGGCUGAGACAGGAGAAUCACUUGAACCCAAGAGGUGGAGGUUGCAGUGAGCUGAGAUUGUGCCACUGCACAUCAGCCUGGGUGACAGAGUGAGGCUCCAUCUCAAAACAAAAAGAAAUUGUAGAAUGAAACCUAAGAAACAAAAUAGUGUUUACUUAUCUACAGUGGAGACAAGGAUGGGAGAGAUACUUCCCUGUAUAACUUUGUGUAUUUCCUGGUUUUUGAAACGUGAAUGUGUUAACUAUUCAGAAAGUUUUAAAAUAGAACAUAGACAUGUGAUAUAGUUCUGCUAUUCAGUAGUUGAGUGAACUUGGGCAAGACUCUUAACCUCUCUGAAAUCUAUAAAUAAUUUUCUCAUUUAUAGAAGGGCUAUCAUAGUAGUAUCCAGCUCAUAGGAUUGUUCUAAGGAUUAAUGAAUGACAGGAGGAACAGAAAGUGCUGGGGAAAGAAAGUGCCAGCACUUUGUAAAUACUCAGUUGAAUGGCCAUGACUCGUGUUACUGAACUUAAUCUUGGUAAUAAGUGAGUAUAUUCUUGAAAAGACACCAGUCUUAGCUAACAUUCCU
Molecule: non-coding RNA, 33050 nt
Organism: Callithrix jacchus (white-tufted-ear marmoset)
Lineage: Eukaryota; Metazoa; Chordata; Mammalia; Primates; Cebidae
Source: RefSeq, a predicted model, not a curated record